Brienomyrus brachyistius is the source of this 1382-nucleotide long non-coding RNA. RefSeq lists it as uncharacterized. Lineage: Eukaryota; Metazoa; Chordata; Actinopteri; Osteoglossiformes; Mormyridae. The record is from RefSeq and is a predicted model, not a curated record. The transcript has 3 exons.
CUCAUGGACACGGUCUGUUAGAUAAACAUCCAAGCCAAUGAGGAAGGAAGAAUUCGUUUCUUACCCGCGGUCUCUGUGCCGAGCCCUUGUCGCACUUCUCCUGGUCCAGCAGAAAUGCCAGUGGUGGUGAAGUUAAGCCGAGGGCAUGGGACACCUCAAUCCGUCGUUUGCGUGUCAGGGGUGUCCCUACAACCCAGACUAACUAUACCGAAAACCACGCUGUUGCCAGAUGAAUGGAUCUCACUUUCCACUGUGGAACUGAUGCAAGAGAUCGGGAUGGAAACACCAAUUAAAAUAGAAAUUUAGGCUACUGGUGACUAAAGAUCACCGAUGUUUAGUUCCGAUAGUGUUUUAUUUAUUCGGAAAAGCAAAAUUUGAAUUCCAAAUGGUCAACGUGUUUUUAACAAACAAAAUAUGGUUAAAUAGAUUUAACAAACGACCCAAUGACUACUUUUCUUUUCGCCGCCGCUAUUUUGCCUGUAUGUCUUUAUCUCACACAACACAGAUGGACAGGAGAAAACAAUAACACAAAAGAAUUCUAACCGUGGGGUCUCAUCCAAGGAAACAUGAGACUGGGAGACGAGUUUUGAUUUAAGUGGCCUUGUCCUUCUCCGGGGUUACUGCCAUUAGACGAUUUACAGUCUGGGUAUUGCGUUAAACUCGCCUCUUGCUGGGUUCCAUAAAGUGAUUGCCUCGGAAGGGCUUCGUAUCCAUAAAAUUUCGUGGCGUCUCCGUGGCAAGCUAAAGCACAGGGAUUCUGUUGGUAUCCGGGGCUGGAGAUUCCCGAUGUCCCGUGGUGGAAAAAAUCCUGGACGUGAUGGGGAGGGUGUUGAAAAGCCGGUGUUGGCGUUCCGGGUCCGUACACCAGUGUGUGGCCACGGGUGACGCUUUGAGGGAACCGGCAGUCGUAGUAAGUUGGCUCCAGCGUUUCGCCGCCUUUGUACUUGGAGAAAAGAGGGUUAACAAAAUAGGAACUCAUGUUCUGUUUGCAUUAAAAGAGGCUGGUAUUUCUUUCCUGUAGUAAAUUUAUUUUAAAGUUAUUUCCCAAAUUUCACACACACCAAAGACACAUCAGCCGGAGCCAGACGGCAAAUCGCUGGUUGUUUAGACAAUCUCAGAUUUCUCAAAUAGACUGCCUGUUUUCACUCUCUCUCUUCUCUCACACGAGCCUCCCCGUGUGUCCUUAUUCACUGUUUGCGGUCUCAGAACCGACACACGGCGUGCAGGGUUGAUGUGUGUUACGGUCAGAGCUGGCUAGCUCCGGCGGCAGAGUCACAAGCGCUCAGUUUUUUUUUUUUUUUUGCUCCCUACCCAACCACUCUUCACUACAUUGACCCCCGCCUCCGCUCGUCUCUACACCAACCUUCAUCUGCCCCCCCCCC